Molecule: ribosomal RNA, 253 nt
Filed under: uncultured bacterium
Lineage: Bacteria
Description: partial 16S ribosomal RNA
Rfam family: Bacterial small subunit ribosomal RNA
Source: RNAcentral
UACGUAGGGGGCAAGCGUUGUCCGGAAUCAUUGGGCGUAAAGCGCGUGUAGGCGGUUCGGUAAGUCGGCUGUGAAAGUCCAGGGCUCAACCCUGGGAUGCCGGUCGAUACUGCCGGACUAGAGUUCGGAAGAGGCGAGUGGAAUUCCCGGUGUAGCGGUGAAAUACGCAGAUAUCGGGAGGAACACCAAUGGCGAAGGCAGCUCGCUGGGACGUUACUGACGCUGAGACGCGAAAGCGUGGGGAGCAAACAGG